This 1343-nucleotide ribosomal RNA is filed under the name uncultured bacterium. RNAcentral's name for it is "16S ribosomal RNA". It matches the Rfam family "Bacterial small subunit ribosomal RNA", at positions 28 to 1378 of the family's 1533-position model. The record is from RNAcentral.
GACGAACGCUGGCGGCGUGCUUAACACAUGCAAGUCGAACGGAAAGGCCCUGCUUUUGUGGGGUGCUCGAGUGGCGAACGGGUGAAUAACACGUGAGUAACCUGCCCUUGACUUUGGGAUAACUUCAGGAAACUGGGGCUAAUACCGGAUAGGAGCUCCUGCUGCAUGGUGGGGGUUGGAAAGUUUCGGCGGUUGGGGAUGGACUCGCGGCUUAUCAGCUUGUUGGUGGGGUAGUGGCUUACCAAGGCUUUGACGGGUAGCCGGCCUGAGAGGGUGACCGGCCACAUUGGGACUGAGAUACGGCCCAGACUCCUACGGGAGGCAGCAGUGGGGAAUAUUGCACAAUGGGCGGAAGCCUGAUGCAGCAACGCCGCGUGCGGGAUGGCGGCCUUCGGGUUGUAAACCGCUUUCGCCUGUGACGAAGCGUGAGUGACGGUAAUGGGUAAAGAAGCACCGGCUAACUACGUGCCAGCAGCCGCGGUGAUACGUAGGGUGCGAGCGUUGUCCGGAUUUAUUGGGCGUAAAGGGCUCGUAGGUGGUUGAUCGCGUCGGAAGUGUAAUCUUGGGGCUUAACCCUGAGCGUGCUUUCGAUACGGGUUGACUUGAGGAAGGUAGGGGAGAAUGGAAUUCCUGGUGGAGCGGUGGAAUGCGCAGAUAUCAGGAGGAACACCAGUGGCGAAGGCGGUUCUCUGGGCCUUUCCUGACGCUGAGGAGCGAAAGCGUGGGGAGCGAACAGGCUUAGAUACCCUGGUAGUCCACGCUGUAAACGGUGGGUACUAGGUGUGGGGUCCAUUCCACGGGUUCCGUGCCGUAGCUAACGCUUUAAGUACCCCGCCUGGGGAGUACGGCCGCAAGGCUAAAACUCAAAGGAAUUGACGGGGCCCCGCACAAGCGGCGGAGCAUGCGGAUUAAUUCGAUGCAACGCGUAGAACCUUACCUGGGUUUGACAUGGAUCGGGAGUGCUCAGAGAUGGGUGUGCCUCUUUUGGGGUCGGUUCACAGGUGGUGCAUGGCUGUCGUCAGCUCGUGUCGUGAGAUGUUGGGUUAAGUCCCGCAACGAGCGCAACCCUUGUUCACUGUUGCCAGCACGUUAUGGUGGGGACUCAGUGGAGACCGCCGGGGUCAACUCGGAGGAAGGUGGGGAUGACGUCAAGUCAUCAUGCCCCUUAUGUCCAGGGCUUCACGCAUGCUACAAUGGCUGGUACAGAGAGUGGCGAGCCUGUGAGGGUGAGCGAAUCUCGGAAAGCCGGUCUCAGUUCGGAUUGGGGUCUGCAACUCGACCUCAUGAAGUCGGAGUCGCUAGUAAUCGCAGAUCAGCAACGCUGCGGUGAAUACGUUCCCGGG